GCGGGAAUGUAGCUAUUCUUGGAGACUUACUAGAACUGAAUUAUUUACCAUUUGGACUUUAUAUCUUGCCUCUGCUUUCCUCAGCAAGACGGCCUCCUCUCAGACCAGCAUCCUCUAGAAGAUUGGAGUCAUGGGCACUGGCAUCUUUCCGCUUCAACUUCAGGAAAUCAUUUUUCAGAUGCUACCUGGGGACUCCUGCAGCUGCUGUGCAUUUUCUUGGAAUCUCUCAUGGAACCAUGCAUGAUGACUGUUUCUACAUCUCUGCAUGGGAAGGAACUCAGGGAUAGAGGGCACCCCGUUCCAUCCCCAUCCCAGCCCCUAGUGCAGGGGAAGAGAGCCGUGGAUGUUAACUAUUUGCCUGGAAUGUGUGAGACGGAUCCUGCCCUUUCCUUCACCAAGCCACCUAGCAGAACCCAUGCCAUCCAGGGCAUCUGCGAGAGAAACACCUCUCCCAGCCUCCCCUGAGCAGCCCACUAGCGCUGUGGAUUCCAGAUCCUGAAACUGCAUCUUGCACUCGGUGUCCUGAGCCCAGCUGAAGUGGCAGGAGCACCACUGACUCCAGAACAGACUUGUAAAGAAAGAAGGUAUCUCCCAAGUCAGCCACAGAGGCUCAUGGUUUCCUGCUCCAUCUAGUCCUGGGUGUUUGCUUAAAUGGGCACUGGCUGACAUGACUGAAACCUCAUGCAUCCAUCACACAUUCACCCUCAACAAAGACACAGCCCCUCCUUUAAGGCCUGUGCUCCCUGUACAUACACAGUGCCCUGCAGCACAGAGAAACCACAUGAAUGGCCUUCUUGGCUCAAGGAGUCAGGGAGUAGGGGCCUGCUGAGCAUGACCAUGUCCAGAGAGUGGGGACCCCAAGAACUGUAACAGCCCAUUGGACAGAUGUGGGCAGGAAUGGGGACAAAAUCACCCACAGUCUCAGACCCCAAAUGAGGUGUGAAUAUGAAAUCCAUGAAAACCUCAUGUGGAGGCCAAAAGACUAACUAGAUUCCCAUCUCAUCUCUCCAGGCCAGAAGCCUAUUAUCCAAUCCUUCCUCUCAUUGCAAGCCCCAGAAGUAACAGCAAUUACAAAAUAAAGAAAAAUAAGAACUUGUCAGCUCCAAUUUUGGGGUUUGAAUGUGGUCUCUGGGGAAUGAUCAGACGGUGGAAGCAGCUGUGGGCAGGGACUCCUCAUGCAGCGAUGACUACUCACUAACCCAGGGCAUGCAUUCGAGGUAAACCCUGUGGGAUUCAGGGCUUGUCCUGCAUCUCACAGUUGAGCGGGCAAGAGCCACCUCUGCCCAAGUGAGGCUUUGUCCCGCACGUCAUCUGUAUGACCUUGCUCUAGGCUGCUCAGGGACGGUAAGAUUUUUGUUCUUGAGGACUGGAGCAGGUGAUGGCCCAAGUGCAAUGAGUUCUGUGGGCAUCAAUGCUCAAAAUAAACACUAAUGCACUACAGUCCCUCCCACUUGAGAGGCCCCUACCUGUCCCACAAUAUCUCAUCCACCUAGAAUUGAAUCCUGGGUCAGAUCCAUACUCAACCAACUCAUUUAAGUGCUACCAAGGGCUGACAGUGGUAAUAGGCUUUCCCUAUUACCUAUAAGGGGCAUAUGUUCCUUUUAUAGAUGCAGAAAUUAGAAGUCAGAUUGCUUAAGUGACUUG
This 1644-nucleotide long non-coding RNA is filed under the name Homo sapiens (human). Its description in RNAcentral is "HSALNT0018386". Lineage: Eukaryota; Metazoa; Chordata; Mammalia; Primates; Hominidae. The record is from RNAcentral.